AAACCUUCUUUGCAGGAGGAAAUCUCAGGGUGCCAAGCUCCACUCGGGUAUUACAUUGCAGGCAUAAAGCCUCAUUCCUCCUUUCAACUUGAUCCAACUUCACACCACCACCAGUUUUCCAUCAUUACUGCUAGCAUCAGUGCCUACUUUCCCAUGUCACUUCUAGGCCAGGGGAGCCUUGAGCUUUCUCUCUGAAGUUCUCUGCUCACUGUUGAGGAAUUUGCAGCAGGAAUGAAACGUUGAUGUUUGAAGAAAAUUAUAGUGACAAUCAUUUGGAGGAUGGAUUGAAAAGGAUGAGUCUGGUGGCCAGAAGACCAGUUGGAAGACUAUUACAGCCUUAGAAGUGAGAGCCAACAGGAGACACAAAGAGUAAACACUGCUCUGGCUUCUGAUUUCAUGACAGAUUGGCACAAAAUACAUAAUAGCAGAGUUCAAAUUAAUAUCGUUGACUUCAAAGCAGUCAUCUUAGGAGACUGUAGAUAGUGAUGGUCCAAUUAUUCAUUCAUUGAAACACAGUGCUUAUCUCUCACUAACAGAACGUGAAUUCCAUGAAAGGAGCGAUUUUUGUCUGUUGCUGUAUUCCCAACACUGGAAAAAUAUCCAACACAUAAAAGGGCGCUGUGAAGGAUGCAAAAUAAAUGUAAGGCUAUUCCAUGUUCUCAGGAGCUUAAAGAUCUGCUUGGAAGGAAAGAACCCAUAUAUGAAGUACAAAAAAGAUCAGAAGAGUGAUGCUGUACAGAAUACCUUCUCAGAGAAAGGAAAGUGACUUAUAUUGGAGUUUCUGGAAAAACCCCGUGGAGGAGAUAGUUACAGGGCCUGCACAUUACAGAAUGAACUGAAGGCGGACACAUGUAGGAAGGACUUGUGGAGAAAGGGCCAGAGGUAACAUAUGGUUCAAGUUGUGAGUGAGAAUAAACCACCAUGAGCUCCUGCCUUUCUCCCACCACGAGCUGCCCCUCUUCCCUGUCCCUUAUCCUCUUCUCAUCUUCUGAAUAUUGUAUGCCAGGCCACAGAGCUCUUCAUCUCCAUCUAUACUUGCUCCUCAAGUGAUUUCUCCCAGCCUCAUACUUUAAAUAACCUUCCAAAUGUAUAAUCCCUGUUCAGUACUCUUUGAAAUUUAGACUCAUGUACCAACAGCCUACUCAACCUUUGUACCAGAGUGUUAAAUGGGAAUUAAAAAAAAUUUUUUUUGAUUGUUUCUGCCCCAAACUACCCUUGUUGGCUCUAUCUCCAAAACAUAUACCAAAGAGGCUGACUUUUCUGCACCUUCACGGCCCCUGGCACCCCAAUUCAAUCUACCCCCCGACCUUUCGCUUACACUAGUACAAUAGCUUCCUCACUGGUCUUCCUGCUGCCAUUCUUGCCCCCAUACUCCGUUCUCCAUGUAGCACCCAUUUCAAACCAUGUAUCAGGUUUUUGGAAACUCUACUCAAUAUUUUGUAAUAACCUAUAAGGGAAAAGAAUCUGAAAAAGAAUCUGAAUCGCUGUGCUGUACACCUGAAACUAACAUGCCAGUUGUUAAUCAAUUAUACUUCUAAUAAAUAAAUAAAUAAAUAAAUAAAUUUUUAAAAUGGAGAAAAAAAGCCCUCACCAUGUAUCAGGUUCUGACACAUCCUCACUUAAAGUCUUUCAACAUCGCUCCUCUGAGACACAUUUGUGACAUAGUCCCUGCUUCAAUGCGUAUGUGCUUGCUGUUCCCUCUUACUUAGACUGUUCUUUCCCUCCCCCGACACUUGAGUGACUUUCUUCCCUAGCUUCACUUAGAAUCACUAUCCUUGACCCUUGUCUAAUAUGGCCUCCUUCCUUUCAUCACCUUAUACUCCCUUCCCUUUUAAAAAUCUCUUCCAAGCACAUGUCUAGGUCUAGGUCUAUUUAUUUGUUCAUAUUCUUAUAGUCUGUUUCCUAUUACUGGCACAGAAGCUCCAUGAGAUCAGGGAGUGUUCAUUGUUAUAUCCCUAGUGACUAGAACUAUGCCUGGCAUUGAAUAAAUAUUUGUUGAAUGAAUGAAUUACCAUCCUUAUGGCUAACCCCUCCUCAUGUAAAUAAGAUGAUGUCCUGAGUGAUGUGAUCAAAACCUGAAGUGCGGGGUCAAUACAGAGAAACAAGUCAAAGACAGGGCAAUCCUAGCAGGACAAAUGCAGGAUACAGAGCCAAGAUGGGAACUGGGAAAAUGAGGAUGAAAGGCCUGUCAGGCAAUCUAGCACAUCCUGCCAGGCAGAGUAUCUUGGACUCUUGUGGACCCUAGUGGACUUUAGAGCCAAUGGAAUAUACCAAGCAAGUUUUCCAGGUGCCACUCAGGAGCUGCCAUGGGAAGCCUCUUUCACGGUAAAGCCUGCUCCAGGAAUCAAAGAGGCAAAAUCUCCAACAGGAGUGGAGCCAUAGUCAUGCACUGAAUUUUUACAUGAAGAGAAAGUUGUCAGUACUGCUGCAGAGAGUAUAAUUGACUAAUAUUUGUUAU
Long non-coding RNA from Balaenoptera acutorostrata (minke whale), 2458 nucleotides. RefSeq lists it as uncharacterized. Lineage: Eukaryota; Metazoa; Chordata; Mammalia; Artiodactyla; Balaenopteridae. The record is from RefSeq and is a predicted model, not a curated record. The transcript is spliced from 4 exons.